GCCUAGACUUCCGCUACUAAAUUGAAAAGAGCCAACCUUAUGAAGAUAUCCUGAUUUCGGCCAAGAACUCCAAAUGAGGGCUUAGCAACAAGCCAAUCACAAGGAGAUAUCCCGACUUAAGUCAGGACCUCGACAAACCUAGAUUAGAAGCAUCCCAACCUGAUAAGUCAGCUCCAGUCGGGCUUAGAUGAUAAGGUGUCAGUAGAUAACAUCACGAACUUGGCCGUGGAUAAGGGACC
This 239-nucleotide long non-coding RNA is filed under the name Elaeis guineensis (African oil palm). RNAcentral's name for it is "long non-coding RNA (EGUI_LNC072531)". Lineage: Eukaryota; Viridiplantae; Streptophyta; Magnoliopsida; Arecales; Arecaceae. The record is from RNAcentral.